Molecule: long non-coding RNA, 616 nt
Organism: Paramacrobiotus metropolitanus
Lineage: Eukaryota; Metazoa; Tardigrada; Eutardigrada; Parachela; Macrobiotidae
Exons: 3
Source: RefSeq, a predicted model, not a curated record
UGGUUUUGUGAAGCAUAGUGUGCUGUGGGUAUAUAAAAGGAAAUCGGAGUGCGGUGGAAAUUUAGUUGGUUAAGGGAAGUUGUGAGAAGUUUGUUGUGUGGAUUGUGUUGUAAGCUCUUAUUUGAUAGUAAAGGUUGUUGUAGUAAGGUGGAGAGUGAUUUGGAGUGCCUGGGAACAGGUGUUUGAAGGGAUUUUGGCAGAUUUGUAACAAAUGAAAUUCCAGGAAGUGCUAUGGAUAUUGUUGUCACCGACGACAAUACAACCGUAUUGCAGCCUGAAUCCAGCAAACGAUCUGCUGGAACUCCGAAGAAACGAAAUAAAUGAAUGGAAUAGCAUGAACCGUUGGUUUUACUUUGAGAUGGACCAAUCGUUUUCAUUUUUGUUGUUAUUUGAGUGAUUCAUCAAUUUAUUAGCGCCAUUGUACCAUUUUAUCUAAGUGCAUUAAAGUUAUCUGUGGUAUUAUUAUCUGAUAGUGGUGGUGCGGUAUUAUUAUCUAUGUGAUGUAAUUAUGUUGUAUUACUCGUUUAAUACUUGUAAAGUUUGUAUCUUAGUAUUUUUCUUAUACUGAACUACACUUUUAUUUUGUUAUUUUGUAUUGGUUUUGUAGUACAGUAAU